Molecule: ribosomal RNA, 505 nt
Filed under: uncultured bacterium
Lineage: Bacteria
Description: partial 16S ribosomal RNA
Rfam family: Bacterial small subunit ribosomal RNA
Source: RNAcentral
GACGAACGCUGGCGGCGUGCCUAAUACAUGCAAGUAGAACGCACAGUUUAUACCGUAGCUUGCUACACCAUAGACUGUGAGUUGCGAACGGGUGAGUAACGCGUAGGUAACCUGCCUGGUAGCGGGGGAUAACUAUUGGAAACGAUAGCUAAUACCGCAUAAUAUUAAUUAUUGCAUGAUAAUUAAUUGAAAGGUGCAAUUGCACCACUACCAGAUGGACCUGCGUUGUAUUAGCUAGUAGGUGAGGUAACGGCUCACCUAGGCGACGAUACAUAGCCGACCUGAGAGGGUGAUCGGCCACACUGGGACUGAGACACGGCCCAGACUCCUACGGGAGGCAGCAGUAGGGAAUCUUCGGCAAUAGACGAAAGUCUGACCGAGCAACGCCGCGUGAGUGAAGAAGGUUUUCAGAUCGUAAAGCUCUGCUGUAAGAGAAGAACGGGUGUGAGAGUGGAAAGUUCACACUGUGACGGUAUCUUACCAGAAAGGGACGGCUAACUACGUG